CCAUAGUUUGCAAUCACCAAAUAUUCUCCGCUAUCAGUGAAACCAGAAGACUCGUGAUUAUUACACAGUUAUGUAAACAUUAAAGGGUUUCAAACAAGCUGUUUUAUUUGCAAAUGGAAUAAUUAAUUAGAUUAAAAUAAUAAUUGAAAUGUUAGGGAGAUAUAGUUAGAUGCUAGCCAUAGGCGUUCAUUUACGUACUAUUUACAUAAUAAACAUGGCGUUCAAAAUAAACAUUUCUAAAACAGACCAUACGCUAAAUACUUAUUCAAUGUAGUAGUUCACUUGAAUGCUUAUAAUCUAGUAGCUGAAUAAAUUGCGUAGAAUCAUUUUACAACCUUUUAUGUACACUUCAAUGUCCUUGAAUGUAUAAGUUUUGAAUAUAGCUUUAAAUUAAUUUUCUUUGAAAUAUGUGUAAAAGCACAAUUUAGUCAAUUUGAAAUAUUAUACUUGUAUACUUUAAAAGUACAAGUUUACCCUUGAAUUACCUAGAUGUGAAAUAAUACAUUAAUUCAAAGUGAUUUAGGAACCUUGUCUGCACGUAAUGAUAUAAAUACCAAUAUAUGCAGCUAUGUGAACCUAACAGAGAGACUGCCUGGAAACAAGAAGAAUUUUGCCUAACUGUCAGUUGUUGCAGCUAAACGGUCACCUUGCUGACAAAGUCUCACAAUGUAGCUUCGCCCUUCGCCAAGGGUAAGGUUGCAAAAAAACUACACAACUUUACACAGUUUUUAUUGACAAGGUACAAAUUUGUUUGGAUAAAUAGUCUGGACAAGAUCUCAACCCCCUUCCCAAAAUAAUCUCAAAUUUACGCAAUGACUGAAAAAAGUACGUCUAUCUGCUCCUGGUUUUUAAAACUUUUCUCCUGCAUGGCCGACGAUUUCGAGGACGAGAAGAACUUUGUCUUCUUUGCGAACAAAAAGAACUGUCCAUUUUCGCAACAUUCGCGAUAUCAAACAUGGAAAAAAUUUCUAGAAGAGAACAAACCUCGAUACGAGAACAAUUUCAAUUUCGACAUAAAUUUCUGUAACAUCCAAGACCAGUAUUAUCCUUCGAAGGGGUGGAGAAAGUGUCACUUUAGAAAGUACUAUUGCCACUUUAACGACUCCCUGUCUGAUCUGGAGGAGAAGGAGGAGGACGAGGAGGAGGGUGUGGUGGACUCAAGCCUUGCCAAAAGGGGAGACCAAAUACAAACUAAUUUUAAAAAGUGUCACUUUAGUUAGACGAAUAUCAGUAUUUUUUGAAAUCACUGAAUACGUAUGCGAAAUUUUUGCAUCUGCAUAAAGCCACUAUUUACAGCACCGUUUACUGAUCCUUAGUUCCGUCUUUGUGUACGUUUAAUUUAGUGUGCGUUUGUUAAAUAUGUUAUAACACGCUGUCAAUUUUAUUUUAGAAUAUGCGUAUGUUUGUUACUGAUAUUGUUUAAUUAGGUACACGAUUAAUGAGUUGAAUAAUAUGUACAAGAUGAAUGUUAACGAUGCACAAUUUGGUAAUGUAAUAAACGUUAUUUAUUAUCAGCA
This is a long non-coding RNA of Folsomia candida, 1517 nucleotides long. RefSeq lists it as uncharacterized. NCBI's taxonomy places the organism in Eukaryota, Metazoa, Arthropoda, Collembola, Entomobryomorpha, Isotomidae. The transcript has 2 exons. The record is from RefSeq and is a predicted model, not a curated record.